Molecule: non-coding RNA, 206 nt
Organism: Kouleothrix aurantiaca
Lineage: Bacteria; Bacillati; Chloroflexota; Chloroflexia; Chloroflexales; Roseiflexaceae
Source: Rfam
GAUAGUUCCUAAAAUCUAGCGUUCUAUCGCUUCAGAUCAUGGAACUACCAGCGGGCGUGAGACAUCACGCAGCAGUUCGACAGGCCAACACACCUAUGGAUGUUCGCUCCAGUCUGUAGCUCUGUGGUUCCGGUUUAAGGGUACCGGAAACGGGAACGUGAUCGGGACAUGACAAACCUGUUGAACACUCGCGAGGAGCAUCUUAC